This 750-nucleotide small RNA is filed under the name Pan troglodytes (chimpanzee). Its description in RNAcentral is "retained intron". The record is from RNAcentral. Lineage: Eukaryota; Metazoa; Chordata; Mammalia; Primates; Hominidae.
AGCCUCUUGCUCAGCCACACUGCCUGCCUGGUGCAGCCCAUGUGACGGGUCCGGCUCUGGGCCCUGCUGUCCCUGGCCCGGCUAUCCCAGUGGCUUCAGGCACCUUCUCCAGACCUACCCAGAAAGAUGCCUGGAUGGAGCCUGCAGCUCCGUGACUUUUCUGGGAAGCAGCGGCCCCUGCUCUCAAGAGACCCUGGCUCCUGAUGGUGGCCCCAAGGUUGCCAGCUGGUGCUAGGGACUCAGGACAGUUUCCCAGAAAAGGCCAAGCGGGCAGCCCCUCCAGGGGCCGGGUGAGGAAGCUGGGGGGUGCGGAGGCCACACUGGGUCCCUGAACCCCCUGCUUGGUUACAGUGCAGCUCCUCAAGUCCACGGACGUGGGCCGGCACAGCCUCCUGUACCUGAAGGAAAUCGGCCAUGGCUGGUUCGGGAAGGUGGGGACCACGUCCUGGUGGCUGUUGGCAGCAGAUUCAGGUGCCUCUGCCCCACGCGGUGUCCUGGAGAAGCCCGUGGGAUGAGAGGCCCUGGAUGGUAGAUCGGCCAUGCUCCGCCCCAGAGGCAGAAUUUGUCUGGGCUUUUGGGCUUGCUGCUAGCCCCUGGGGACGCCUGGAGCCACAGUGGGUGUCUGUACACACAUACUCAAAAGGGGCCAGUGCCCCUGGGCACGGCGGCCCCCACCCUCUGCCCUGCCUGCCUGGCCUCGGAGGACCCGCAUGCCCCAUCCGGCCGCUCCUCCGGUGUGCUCACAGGACA